This 8069-nucleotide long non-coding RNA is filed under the name Citrus x clementina. Its description in RNAcentral is "Citrus clementina (C. clementina) long non-coding RNA (CCLE_LNC004768)". The record is from RNAcentral. Lineage: Eukaryota; Viridiplantae; Streptophyta; Magnoliopsida; Sapindales; Rutaceae.
AAGGCUCAUCAAGUCUCAAAGCCUGUAUAUGGCGAGACCAGAUGCCAAGCGUGCCAGAAUCUGCUCGUCCGCGCGAAGGCGAGCCGAAUCCCAAGCAUUGAAGAAUUUUCUAAGGUAUGCAAAGGCUCAUCAAGUUUCAAAGCCUGUUUAUGGCGACACCGGAUGCCAAGCGUGCCAGGAUCUGCUCGACCGCGCGAAGGCGAGCAGAAUCCCAAGCAUUGAAGAAUUUUCUAAGGCAUGCAAAGGCUCACGAAGUCUCAAAGCCUGUUUAUGGCGAGACCAGAAGCCAAGCGUGCCAGGAUCUGCUCGACCGCGCGAAGGCGAGCAGAAUCCCAAGCAUUGAAGAAUUUUCUAAGGCAUGCAAAGGCUCACGAAGUCUCAAAGCCUGUUUAUGGCGAGACCAGAAGCCAAGCGUGCCAGGAUCUGCUCGACCGCGCGAAGGCGAGCAGAAUCCCAAGCAUUGAAGAAUUUUCUAAGGCAUGCAACGGCUCACUAAAUCUCAAAGCCUGUUUAUGGGGAGACCAAAAGCCAAGCGUGCCAGGAUCUGCUCGACCGCGCGAAGGCGAGCAGAAUCCCAAGCAUUGAAGAAUUUUCUAAGGCAAGCGAAUGCUCACGAAGUCUCGACGCCUGUUUAUGGCGAGACCAGAAGCCAAGCGUGCCAGAAUCUGCUCGACCACGCGAAGGCGAGCAGAAUCCCAAGCAUUGAAGAAUUUUCUAAGGCAUGCAAAGGCUCAUCAAGUUUCAAAGCCUGUUUCUGGCUAGACCAGAUGCCAAGCGUGGCAGGAUCUGCUCGACCGCGCGAAGGCGAGCAGAAUCCCAAGCAUUGAAGAAUUUUCUAAGGCAUGCAAAGGCUCAUCAAGUCUCAAAGUCUGUUUAUGGCGAGACCAGAUGCCAAGCGUGCCAGGAAUCUGCUCGACCGCGCGAAGGCGAGCAGAAUCUCAAGCAGUUGAAGAAAUUUUCUAAGGCAUGCAAAUGGCUCAUCGAAGUCUCAAAGCCUGUUUAUGGCGAGACCAGAUGCCAAGCGUGCCAGAAUCUGCUCGACCGCGCGAAGGCGAGCAGAAUCCCAAGCAUUGAAGAAUUUUCUAAGGCAUGCAAUGGCUCAUCAAGUCUCAAAGCCUGUUUAUGGCGACACCAGAUGCCAAGCGUGCCAGGAUCUGCUCGACCGCGCGAAGGCGAGCAGAAUCCCAAGCAUUGAAGAAUUUUCUAAGGCAUGCAAAGGCUCACCAAGUCUCAAAGCCUGUUUAUGGCGAGACCAGAAGCCAAGCGUGCCAGGAUCUGCUCGACCGCGCGAAGGCGAGCAGAAUCCCAAGCAUUGAAGAAUUUUCUAAGGCAUGCAAAGGCUCAUCAAGUCUCAAAGCCUGUUUAUGGCGAGACCAGAAGCCAAGCGUGCCAGGAUCCGCUCGACCGCGCGAAGGCGAGCAGAAUCCCAAGCAUUGAAGAAUUUUCUAAGGCAUGCAAAGCCUCAUCAAGUCUCAAAGCCUGUUUAUGGCGAGACCAGAUGCCAAGCGUGCCAGAAUCUGCUCGACCGCGCGAAGGCGAGCAGAAUCCCAAGCAUUGAAGAAUUUUCUAAGGCAUGCAAAGGCUCACGAAGUCUCGAAGCCUGUUUAUGGCGAGACCAGAAGCCAAGCGUGCCAGGAUCUGCUCGACCACGCGAAGGCGAGCAGAAUCCCAAGCAUUGAAGAAUUUUCUAAGGCAUGCAAAGGCUCAUCAAGUCUCAAAGCCUGUUUAUGGCGAGACCAGAUGCCAAGCGUGCCAGAAUCUGCUCGACCGCGCGAAGGCGAGCAGAAUCCCAAGCAUUGAAGAAUUUUCUAAGGCAUGCAAAGGCUCAUCAAGUCUCAAAGCCUGUUUAUGGCGAGACCAGAAGCCAAGCGUGCCAGGAUCCGCUCGACCGCGCGAAGGCGAGCUGAAUCCCAAGCAUUGAAGAAGUUUCUAAGGCAUGCAAAGGCUCAUCAAGUCUCAAAGCCUGUUUAUGGCGAGACCAGAAGCCAAGCGUGCCAGAAUCUGCUCGACCGCGCGAAGGCGAGCAGAAUCCCAAGCAUUGAAGAAUUUUCUACGUCAUGCAAAGGCUCACAAAGUCUCAAAGCCUGUUUAUGGCGAGACCAGAAGCCAAGCGUGCCAGGAUCUGCUCGACCGCGCGAAGGCAAGCUGAAAUCCCAGCAUUGAAGAAGUUUCUAAGGCAUGCAAAGGCUCACGAAGUCUCGAAGCCUGUUUAUGGCGAGACCAGAAGCCAAGCGUGCCAGGAUCUGCUCGACCACGCGAAGGCGAGCAGAAUCCCAAGCAUUGAAGAAUUUUCUAAGGCAUGCAAAGGCUCAUCAAGUCUCAAAGCCUGUUUAUGGCGAGACCAGAUGCCAAGCGUGCCAGAAUCUGCUCGACCGCGCGAAGGCGAGCAGAAUCCCAAGCAUUGAAGAAUUUUCUAAGGCAUGCAAAGGCUCAUCAAGUUUCAAAGCCUGUUUAUGGCGACACCAGAUGCCAAGAGUGCCAGGAUCUGCUCGACCGCGCGAAGGCGAGCUGAAUCCCAAGCAUUGAAGAAUUUUCUAAGGCAUGCAAAGGCUCACGAAGUCUCAAAGCCUGUUUAUGGCGAGACCAAAAGCCAAACGUGCCAGGAUCUGCUCGACCGCGCGAAGGCGAGCAGAAUACCAAGCAUUGAAGAAUUUCCUAAGGGAUGCAAAGGCUCAUCAAGUGUCAAAGCCUGUUUAUGGCCAGACCAGAUACCAAGGGUGCCAGAAUCUGCUCGACCGCGCGAAGGCGAGCAGGAUCCCAAGCAUUGAAGAAUUUUCUAAGGCAUGCAAUGGCUCAUCAAGUUUCAAAGCCUGUUUAUGGCGACACCAGAUGCCAAGCGUGCCAGGAUCUGCUCGACCGCGCGAGGGCGAGCAGAAUCCCAAGCAUUGAAGAAUUUUCUACGUCAUGCAAAGGCUCACAAAGUCUCAAAGCCUGUUUAUGGCGAGACCAGAAGCCAAGCGUGCCAGGAUCUGCUCGACCGCACGAAGGCGAGCAGAAUCCCAAGCAUUGAAGAAUUUUCUAAGGCAUGCAAAGGCUCAUCAAGUCUCAAUGCCUGUUUAUGGCGAGACCAGAUGCCAAGCGGGCCAGAAUCUGCUCGACCGCGCGAAGGCGAGCAGAAUCCCAAGCAUUGAAGAAUUUUCUAAGGCAUGCAAAGGCUCACGAAGUCUCAAAGCCUGUUUAUGGCGAGACCAGAUGCCAAGCGUGCCAGAAUCUGCUCGACCGCGCGAAGGCGAGCAGAAUCCCAAGCAUUGAAGAAUUUUCUAAGGCAUGCAAUGGCUCAUCAAGUUUCAAAGCCUUUUUAUGGCGACACCAGAUGCCAAGCGUGCCAGAAUCUGCUCGACCGCGCGAAGGCGAGCAGAAUCCCAAGCAUUGAAGAAUUUUCUAAGGCAUGCAAUGGCUCAUCAAGUUUCAAAGCCUUUUUAUGGCGACACCAGAUGCCAAGCGUGCCAGGAUCUGCUCGACCGCGCGAAGGCGAGCAGAAUCCCAAGCAUUGAAGAAUUUUCUACGUCAUGCAAAGGCUCACAAAGUCUCAAAGCCUUUUUAUGGCGAGACCAGAAGCCAAGCGUGCCAGGAUCUACUCGACCGCGCGAGGCGAGCAGAAUUCCCAAGCAUGAAGAAUUUAUAAGGCAUGCAAAGGCUCAUCAAGUCUCAAAGCCUGUUAUGGCGAGACCAGAUGCCAAGGGUGCCAGAAUCUGCUCGACCGCGCGAAGGCGAGCAGAAUCCCAAGCAUUGAAGAAUUUUCUAAGGCAUGCAAAGGCUCACGAAGUCUCGAAGCCUGUUUAUGGCGAGACCAGAAGCCAAGCGUGCCAGGAUCUGCUCGACCACGCGAAGGCGAGCAGAAUCCCAAGCAUUGAAGAAUUUUCUAAGGCAUGAAAAGGCUCAUCAAGUCUCAAAGCCUGUUUAUGGCGAGACCAGAUGCCAAGCGUGCCAGAAUCUGCUCGUCCGCGCGAAGGCGAGCCGAAUCCCAAGCAUUGAAGAAUUUUCUAAGGUAUGCAAAGGCUCAUCAAGUUUCAAAGCCUGUUUAUGGCGACACCGGAUGCCAAGCGUGCCAGGAUCUGCUCGACCGCGCGAAGGCGAGCAGAAUCCCAAGCAUUGAAGAAUUUUCUAAGGCAUGCAAAGGCUCACGAAGUCUCAAAGCCUGUUUAUGGCGAGACCAGAAGCCAAGCGUGCCAGGAUCUGCUCGACCGCGCGAAGGCGAGCAGAAUCCCAAGCAUUGAAGAAUUUUCUAAGGCAUGCAACGGCUCACUAAAUCUCAAAGCCUGUUUAUGGGGAGACCAAAAGCCAAGCGUGCCAGGAUCUGCUCGACCGCGCGAAGGCGAGCAGAAUCCCAAGCAUUGAAGAAUUUUCUAAGGCAAGCGAAUGCUCACGAAGUCUCGACGCCUGUUUAUGGCGAGACCAGAAGCCAAGCGUGCCAGGAUCUGCUCGACCACGCGAAGGCGAGCAGAAUCCCAAGCAUUGAGGAAUUUUCUAAGGCAUGCAAAGGCUCAUCAAGUUUCAAAGCCUGUUUCUGGCUAGACCAGAUGCCAAGCGUGGCAGAAUCUGCUCGACCGCGCGAAGGCGAGCAGAAUCCCAAGCAUUGAAGAAUUUUCUAAGGCAUGCAAAGGCUCAUCAAGUCUCAAUGCCUGUUUAUGGCGAGACCAGAUGCCAAGCGUGCCAGAAUCUGCUCGACCGCAAGAAGGCGAGCAGAAUCCCAAGCAUUGAAGAAUUUUCUAAGGCAUGCAAAGGCUCAUCAAGUCUCAAUGCCUGUUUAUGGCGAGACCAGAUGCCAAGCGUGCCAGAAUCUGCUCGACCGCAAGAAGGCGAGCAGAAUCCCAAGCAUUGAAGAAUUUUCUAAGGCAUGCAAUGGCUCAUAGAGUUUCAAAGCCUGUUUAUGGCGACACCAGAUGCCAAGCGUGCCAGGAUCUGCUCGACCGCGCGAAGGCGAGCAGAAUCCCAAGCAUUGAAGAAUUUUCUAAGGCAUGCAAAGGCUCAUCAAGUCUCAAAGCCUGUUUAUGGCGAGACCAGAUGCCAAGCGUGCCAGAAUCUGCUCGACCGCGCGAAGGCGAGCAGAAUCCCAAGCAUUGAAGAAUUUUCUACGUCAUGCAAAGGCUCACAAAGUCUCAAAGCCUUUUUAUGGCGAGACCAGAAGCCAAGCGUGCCAGGAUCUACUCGACCGCACGAAGGCGAGCAGAAUCCCAAGCAUUGAAGAAUUUUCUAAGGCAUGCAAAGGCUCAUCAAGUCUCAAAGCCUGUUUAUGGCGAGACCAGAUGCCAAGCGUGCCAGAAUCUGCUCGACCGCAAGAAGGCGAGCAGAAUCCCAAGCAUUGAAGAAUUUUCUAAGGCAUGCAAUGGCUUAUAGAGUUUCAAAGCCUGUUUAUGGCGACACCAGAUGCCAAGCGUGCCAGGAUCUGCUCGACCGCGCGAAGGCGAGCAGAAUCCCAAGCAUUGAAGAAUUUUCUAAGGCAUGCAAAGGCUCAUCAAGUCUCAAAGCCUGUUUAUGGCGAGACCAGAUGCCAAGCGUGCCAGAAUCUGCUCGACCGCGCGAAGGCGAGCAGAAUCCCAAGCAUUGAAGAAUUUUCUAAGGCAUGCAAAGGCUCAUCAAGUCUCAAAGCCUGUUUAUGGCGAGACCAGAAGCCAAGCGUGCCAGGAUCUGCUCGACCACGCGAAGGCGAGCAGAAUCCCAAGCAUGAAGGAAUUUUUAAGGGCAUGCAAAGGCUCAUCAAGUUUUCAAAGCCUGUUUCUGGCUAGACCAGAUGCCAAGCGUGGCAGAAUCUGCUCGACCGCGCGAAGGCGAGCAGAAUCCCAAGCAUUGAAGAAUUUUGUAAGGCAUGCAAAGGCUCAUCAAGUCUCAAUGCCUGUUUAUGGCGAGACCAGAUGCCAAGCGGGCCAGAAUCUGCUCGACCGCGCGAAGGCGAGCAGAAUCCCAAGCAUUGAAGAAUUUUCUAAGGCAUGCAAAGGCUCACGAAGUCUCAAAGCCUGUUUAUGGCGAGACCAGAAGCCAAGCGUGCCAGGAUCUGCUCGACCACGCGAAGGCGAGCAGAAUCCCAAGCAUUGAGGAAUUUUCUAAGGCAUGCAAAGGCUCAUCAAGUUUCAAAGCCUGUUUCUGGCUAGACCAGAUGCCAAGCGUGGCAGAAUCUGCUCGACCGCGCGAAGGCGAGCAGAAUCCCAAGCAUUGAAGAAUUUUCUAAGACAUGCAAAUGCUCACCAAGUCUCAAAGCCUGUUUAUGGCGACACCAGAUGCCAAGAGUGCCAGGAUCUGCUCGACCGCGCGAAGGCGAGCUGAAUCCCAAGCAUUGAAGAAUUUUCUAAGGCAUGCAAAGGCUCACGAAGUCUCAAAGCCUGUUUAUGGCGAGACCAAAAGCCAAACGUGCCAGGAUCUGCUCGACCGCGCGAAGGCGAGCAGAAUACCAAGCAUUGAAGAAUUUCCUAAGGGAUGCAAAGGCUCAUCAAGUGUCAAAGCCUGUUUAUGGCCAGACCAGAUACCAAGGGUGCCAGAAUCUGCUCGACCGCGCGAAGGCGAGCAGGAUCCCAAGCAUUGAAGAAUUUUCUAAGGCAUGCAAUGGCUCAUCAAGUUUCAAAGCCUGUUUAUGGCGACACCAGAUGCCAAGCGUGCCAGGAUCUGCUCGACCGCGCGAGGGCGAGCAGAAUCCCAAGCAUUGAAGAAUUUUCUACGUCAUGCAAAGGCUCACAAAGUCUCAAAGCCUGUUUAUGGCGAGACCAGAAGCCAAGCGUGCCAGGAUCUGCUCGACCGCACGAAGGCGAGCAGAAUCCCAAGCAUUGAAGAAUUUUCUAAGGCAUGCAAAGGCUCAUCAAGUCUCAAAGCCUGUUUAUGGCGAGACCAGAUGCCAAGCGUGCCAGAAUCUGCUCGACCGCGCGAAGGCGAGCAGAAUCCCAAGCAUUGAAGAAUUUUCUAAGGCAUGCAAAGGCUCACGAAGUCUCGAAGCCUGUUUAUGGCGAGACCAGAAGCCAAGCGUGCCAGGAUCUGCUCGACCGCGCGAAGGCGAGCAGAAUCCCAAGCAUUGAAGAAUUUUCUAAGGCAUGCAAAGGCUCAUCAAGUCUCAAAGCCUGUUUAUGGCGAGACCAGAUGCCAAGCGUGCCAGAAUCUGCUCGACCGCGCGAAGGCGAGCCGAAUCCCAAGCAUUGAAGAAUUUUCUAAGGUAUGCAAAGGCUCAUCAAGUUUCAAAGCCUGUUUAUGGCGACACCGGAUGCCAAGCGUGCCAGGAUCUGCUCGACCGCGCGAAGGCGAGCAGAAUCCCAAGCAUUGAAGAAUUUUCUAAGGCAUGCAAAGGCUCACGAAGUCUCAAAGCCUGUUUAUGGCGAGACCAGAAGCCAAGCGUGCCAGGAUCUGCUCGACCGCGCGAAGGCGAGCAGAAUCCCAAGCAUUGAAGAAUUUUCUAAGGCAUGCAACGGCUCACUAAAUCUCAAAGCCUGUUUAUGGCGAGACCAAAAGACAAGCGUGCCAGGAUCUGCUCGACCGCGCGAAGGCGAGCAGAAUCCCAAGCAUUGAAGAAUUUUCUAAGGCAAGCGAAUGCUCACGAAGUGUCGACGCCUGUUUAUGGCGAGACCAGAAGCCAAGCGUGCCAGGAUCUGCUCGACCACGCGAAGGCGAGCAGAAUCCCAAGCAUUGAGGAAUUUUCUAAGGCAUGCAAAGGCUCAUCAAGUUUCAAAGCCUGUUUCUGGCUAGACCAGAUGCCAAGCGUGGCAGAAUCUGCUCGACCGCGCGAAGGCGAGCAGAAUCCCAAGCAUUGAAGAAUUUCUAAGACAUGCAAAUGCUCACCAAGUCUCAAAGCCUGUUUAUGGCGAGACCAGAUGCCAAGCGUGCCAGAAUAUGCUCGACCGCGCGAAGGUGAGCAGAAUCCCAAGCAUUGAAGAAUUUUCUACGUCAUGCAAAGGCUCACAACGUCUCAAAGCCUGUUUAUGGCGAGACCAGAUGCCAAGCUUGCCAGGAUCUGCUCGACCGCACGAACGCGAGCAGAAUCCCAAGUAUUGAAGAAUUUUCUAAGGCAUGCAAAGGCUCAUCAAGUUUCAAAGCCUGUUUAUGGCGAGACCAGAUGCCAAGCGUACCAGGAUCUGCUCGACCGCGCGAAGGCG